Long non-coding RNA from Haliotis rubra (blacklip abalone), 282 nucleotides. RefSeq lists it as uncharacterized. The transcript has 3 exons. The record is from RefSeq and is a predicted model, not a curated record. Lineage: Eukaryota; Metazoa; Mollusca; Gastropoda; Lepetellida; Haliotidae.
AAACAAACGAAAGCUACCGAGAAUUCUCUCGCGAUUCUUUUGGAGGGCUACGGUGGAUUGAUGGUUGUUCAUGGAUAUGCAUGCAGGAAAUGUCAUGACAGAGUGAAGAGGAUUCACACAUCAACGAAAGACUUCUGGGACAUGUGUCAAGAAUCAAGCAAAUCAACUAAAACAAAACGAUGUGCAUCCUCACCCCUGACUCCUUCAGUGUCCAAUGAACCCAUGAUUUCUAACCACAGAAAAGUACAGAGACGACUAAUUAUGUCUGCUGAGGAACAUACU